This 494-nucleotide ribosomal RNA is filed under the name uncultured bacterium. RNAcentral describes it as "partial 16S ribosomal RNA". It matches the Rfam family "Bacterial small subunit ribosomal RNA", at positions 28 to 507 of the family's 1533-position model. The record is from RNAcentral.
GACGAACGCUGGCGGCGCGCUUAACACAUGCAAGUCGAACGGAAAGGCCUGCUUUCCCUUGUGGAUUGCGGGUACUCGAGUGGCGAACGGGUGAGUAACACGUGAGUGAUCUGCCCCCAACUUGGGUAUAAGCCUGGGAAACUGGGUCUAAUUCCCGAUAGGACUGCAGGGUGGUGCCUGUGGUGGAAAACGAUUUUCUAGUGGUUGGGGAUGAGCUCGCGGCCUAUCGGCUUGUUGGUGGGGUAAUGGCCUACCAAGGCGGCGACGGGUAGCCGGCCUGAGAGGGUGGACGGCCACAUUGGGACUGAGAUACGGCCCAGACUCCUACGGGAGGCAGCAGUGGGGAAUAUUGCACAAGGGGCGGAAGCCUGAUGCAGCGACGCCGCGUGGGGGAUGACGGCCUUCGGGUUGUAAACUCCUUUCGACCGCGAGGAAGCCACCUGGUUGGAAGGGUGGUGACGGUAGUGGUAGAAGAAGCACCGGCUAACUACGUG